GCCAGCAGCAGGAGCCCCGACAGGCCGGCCGUCACCAUCACAUCAGCUCCCUGGUCUGUCAUGGUGGCAGGCAGCGCGCUCCAAACCCAGCCAGGCUCAGACUCCCCGGUGCCACGAGCUCGGCCUCCUCACAGCUCUGAGCAGCCGCUGAAGCCCGGGGCGACUCACACGCGCGUGUAAAUGUGCCGGUGCAGCAGGUAGCGGCUUCAAAGCUCAGAUUAGGCUUUUAAUUAUGCUCAGAGAGAGAGAGGGGGAGAUGACACGUACAGCGGCUGGCGCCGAAAUGGAGCUCCACAUUCCUCCUGACUUGAUAAACAGCAACGCAAAGCGGAGCGGUGAACUGUGGCUUUUCCAGCUUUAGGACUGUGUCUGAGAGCAGCUCCUGAACGGGCAGCUUGGUUUGCUUCGCACACAAAACGCGGCCUCGUCCUGCCUCUAUGCACCCAGAAUAAGGAGCGUGUACCCUGAACGCCACACGGACAUGAUCAGUCGUACCCACUCCCCGGUUCACUCCUAAUGAAGACCUGCAAUAAGAUGUUACUACAACCUACAUACAUAGAGGACUGGGGGAGGAUCACAUUCACCCGUUAAAAAAGCAUUUUACUAAAUCAAUUUCAUUCAGUGGUGUUUCUGCAACGUAUAAUGAGUUAGAGCUACAAACUGGACUAUUCAACGAGGUGAAAGCAGAUCAGCUGAGCUGGAUUCGGUGCAACAGAUGAACGAAAACCUCCGAUUUUAAAAACCCGAAGAUUCUUUUCAUUAGAUUAAACCCGCGUCUGUGUUCCGACGGGACACAACGAGGAUGAAGGCAAAGCAGGAGACCACAUUUCACCACAGCACGGUUCUCUCAGAGCAGUUCAUCUGCAUAAAACAAGCCCGAGCAACUUCAUCGUAGUUUUACUUACUGCGAGUGGCAGAAAUUUACAUCCAAGUGUGUGAGCAAACGUCCAGUCCUGUAACCUGGGAGCGUGUCCUGGAUGCUGCCUUCACGGCCCCUUUUAUAAGGCCACGGUUGUUCGGCUCUGAGAAUAGCGGGCUGUAUCCCACGCGGAGAAAAAACAAAAACCCUUAGAAAUAACGAUGCCGCGCCGCCGCUGCCGUGGGAGACGAUGGACCUGGAGCUCCCCCUGUCGGACGACGGGGGGUACUGCUCUAACCAACAAUCAGAAGUACAUGAAGCUGCAACCACCCAUGCAGAAGAAUGACAGUGGUAUCGGUUAUAACUGAUGCAUUUUUAAAAACAAUAAAAUGUACACAAACACACACAGCACGAAAGUCAAACAACAGUGAUGCAAUGAGGCUUCACUCCAGGCUCGUGAUUUAUGCAUUUAUUUGCUCUCAAUAAUUAAAGGGUUAAAACGUCAUGGGUUCUUUAAUCUUACAAUUCCUACAAGUAAAACAUUUGUGAAAUAAAAGAUGACAUCACGCCUA
Betta splendens (Siamese fighting fish) is the source of this 1431-nucleotide long non-coding RNA. RefSeq lists it as uncharacterized. The record is from RefSeq and is a predicted model, not a curated record. The transcript is spliced from 2 exons. NCBI's taxonomy places the organism in Eukaryota, Metazoa, Chordata, Actinopteri, Anabantiformes, Osphronemidae.